CCUACGGGUGGCAGCAGUGAGGAAUAUUGGUCAAUGGCCGUAAGGCUGAACCAGCCAAGUCGCGUGAAGGACGAAGGAUCUAUGGUUUGUAAACUUCUUUUAUAGGGGAAUAAAGGUAUCCACGUGUGGAUAUCUGCAUGUACCCUCUGAAUAAGCAUCGGUUAACUCGGUCCCAGCAGCGGCGGUAAUACGGAGGAUGCGACCGUUAUCCGGAUUUUUUGGGUUUAAGGGGUGCGUAGGUUGUUGUUUAAGUCGGCGGUGAAAGUUUGUGGCUCAACGAUAAAAGUGCCGUUGAAACUGGAAGACUGGAAUGUGUAUGAGGUAGGAGGAAUGCGUGGUGUAGCGGUGAAAUGCAUAGAUAUCACGCAGAACACCGAUUGCGAAGGCAGCUUACGAAGCCAUAACUGACGCUGAAGCACGAAAGCGUGGGGAUCAAACAGGAUUAGAUACCCGGGUAGUC
RNAcentral lists this ribosomal RNA (460 nucleotides) under uncultured bacterium. RNAcentral's name for it is "partial 16S ribosomal RNA". It matches the Rfam family "Bacterial small subunit ribosomal RNA", at positions 338 to 795 of the family's 1533-position model. The record is from RNAcentral.